RNAcentral lists this ribosomal RNA (186 nucleotides) under uncultured Staphylococcus sp. RNAcentral describes it as "partial 16S ribosomal RNA". It matches the Rfam family "Bacterial small subunit ribosomal RNA", at positions 154 to 334 of the family's 1533-position model. The record is from RNAcentral. Lineage: Bacteria; Bacillati; Bacillota; Bacilli; Caryophanales; Staphylococcaceae.
AAACCGGAGCUAAUACCGGAUAAUAUAUUGAACCGCAUGGUUCAAUAGUGAAAGACGGUUUUGCUGUCACUUAUAGAUGGAUCCGCGCCGCAUUAGCUAGUUGGUAAGGUAACGGCUUACCAAGGCGACGAUGCGUAGCCGACCUGAGAGGGUGAUCGGCCACACUGGAACUGAGACACGGUCCAG